UACAGAGGUGGCAAGCGUUGUUCGGAAUUACUGGGCGUAAAGGGCGCGUAGGCGGCUUUUUAAGUCAGACGUGAAAUCCCCCGGCUUAACCUGGGAACUGCGUCUGAUACUGGGAAGCUUGAGUUCGGGAGAGGGAUGUAGAAUUCCAGGUGUAGCGGUGAAAUGCGUAGAUAUCUGGAGGAAUACCGGUGGCGAAGGCGGCUCACUGGCCCGGUACUGACGCUGAGGCACGAAAGCGUGGGGAGCAAACAGG
Molecule: ribosomal RNA, 253 nt
Filed under: uncultured bacterium
Lineage: Bacteria
Description: partial 16S ribosomal RNA
Rfam family: Bacterial small subunit ribosomal RNA
Source: RNAcentral